GUUUCAUUCCUUGGGAUAUUGAAUUCAUCUAACCUUCUUAUUUGAAUGGAGCUAUAUAUGAUUGCUUGGAAUCCAUGUAUACUCUUGCUUUCAUUUCAUUCCAAAUCUGAAUACAUUUGUGAGAGAUUGUUGCUUGCAUCGUAUUGACUCGUAAAGGCACAUGUACAUUUUGUUGUUCCGCGUGUGCUUCUGAUAUAUGCUAUUUAUUGUUCAUACUGCCUUUUGUACUCUGGUGUUGUGGGAUAAUGUGAACCUUUGCCAGAAAUGGUAAAGGGAGUUAUGCAUAGAGCCUGCGAUGCUCUGCCGGCCCCCUCUGACUUCACCUAGACGUGGGUGGAUGGAGCUCCCAGACGUGGGAGACUUUUGUCAGGUGGUCAUUCAGAAAUGGAUGAAUCACAUUCUAUCUGUGGUCCCACUACACC
This 422-nucleotide long non-coding RNA is filed under the name Musa acuminata (dwarf banana). Its description in RNAcentral is "long non-coding RNA (MACU_LNC006858)". The record is from RNAcentral. Lineage: Eukaryota; Viridiplantae; Streptophyta; Magnoliopsida; Zingiberales; Musaceae.